This 325-nucleotide unclassified non-coding RNA is filed under the name soil metagenome. RNAcentral's name for it is "partial contains 5.8S ribosomal RNA, internal transcribed spacer 2, and large subunit ribosomal RNA". The stretch from base 1 to 120 matches the Rfam family "5.8S ribosomal RNA", at positions 35 to 154 of the family's 154-position model. The record is from RNAcentral.
GAUGAAGAACGUAGCGAAAUGCGAUAAGUAAUGCGAAUUGCAGAAUUCAGUGAGUCAUCGAAUCUUUGAACGCACAUUGCGCCCUGUGGUAUUCCGCAGGGCAUGCCUGUUCGAGCGUCAUUUCAACCCUCAAGCCCCGCUUGGUGUUGGGCCCCGCCCGCCGUGGCCGGCCCUAAAGACAGUGGCGGCGCCGCCUGGCCCUCAGCGUAGUACAGCUCUCGCUCCAGGGUCCGGCGGCCGCCUGCCAGAACCCCCCAACUCUGUGGUUGACCUCGGAUCAGGUAGGGAUACCCGCUGAACUUAAGCAUAUCAAUAAGCGGGAGGA